Molecule: small nuclear RNA, 107 nt
Organism: Cervus hanglu yarkandensis (Yarkand deer)
Lineage: Eukaryota; Metazoa; Chordata; Mammalia; Artiodactyla; Cervidae
Source: Ensembl
GUGCUCGCUUUCACAGCACAUAUACUAAAAUUGGAAUGAUACAGAGAAGAUGAGCAUGGCCCCUGCGCAAGGAUGACAUCCAAAUUCAUGCAGUGCUCCAUAAAAAA